AAGUCGUAACAAGGUAACCGUAGGUGAACCUGCGGUUGGAUCAUUAACAAAUUGUAAGAAUAGUGUUUGGUCUCUAACGAGACCCUCACUAGUCUCAACAUUAUGUGAAUCGUUUAUUGUCUCUUGGUAGGUUCUUUAAUAUUGCAUUUUUGAUUUCGAUCUUAAGUGCGAUCCCUACCAAAUCUAAACUUGAACUUUUAUGUAAAUAUAACAUGUCUUGAAUUUAAAUUUAUCUUAAUUUAAAACAACUUUUGACAACGGAUCUCUAGGCUCUC
RNAcentral lists this unclassified non-coding RNA (275 nucleotides) under fungal sp. Its description in RNAcentral is "partial internal transcribed spacer region". The stretch from base 1 to 46 matches the Rfam family "Eukaryotic small subunit ribosomal RNA", at positions 1786 to 1831 of the family's 1831-position model. Lineage: Eukaryota; Fungi. The record is from RNAcentral.